GUGCCAGCCGCCGCGGUAAUACCAGCCCCGCGAGUGGUUGGGACGUUUACUAGGCCUAAAGCGCCUGUAGCCGGCCCUGUAAGUCCCUCCCUAAAGGCCCGGGCUCAACCCGGGAACCGGGAGGGAUACUGCAGGGCUAGGGGGCGGGAGAGGCGGGGGGUACUCCCGGAGUAGGGGCGAAAUCCGUAGAUCCCGGGAGGACCACCAGUGGCGAAGGCGCCCCGCUAGAACGCGCCCGACGGUGAGAGGCGAAAGCCGGGGCAGCAAAAGGGAUUAGAUACCCCUGUAGUCCCGGCUGUAAACGAUGCCGGCUAGGUGUCGCGUGGGCUUAGAGCCCACGCGGUGCCGCAGGGAAGCCGUUAAGCCGGCCGCCUGGGGAGUACGGCCGCAAGGCUGAAACUUAAAGGAAUAGGCGGGGGAGCACCACAAGGGGUGGAACCUGCGGCUCAAUUGGAGUCAACACCUGGAAG
This 470-nucleotide ribosomal RNA is filed under the name uncultured archaeon. RNAcentral describes it as "SSU rRNA". It matches the Rfam family "Archaeal small subunit ribosomal RNA", at positions 455 to 925 of the family's 1478-position model. The record is from RNAcentral.